UACACUCCUGCGGGAGGCAGCAGUGGGGAAUUUUGGACAAUGGGCGAAAGCCUGAUCCAGCAAUGCCGCGUGUGUGAAGAAGGCCUUCGGGUUGUAAAGCACUUUUGUCCGGAAAGAAAUCCUUGGCUCUAAUACAGUCGGGGGAUGACGGUACCGGAAGAAUAAGCACCGGCUAACUACGUGCCAGCAGCCGCGGUAAUACGUAGGGUGCGAGCGUUAAUCGGAAUUACUGGGCGUAAAGCGUGCGCAGGCGGUUUGCUAAGACCGAUGUGAAAUCCCCGGGCUCAACCUGGGAACUGCAUUGGUGACUGGCAGGCUAGAGUAUGGCAGAGGGGGGUAGAAUUCCACGUGUAGCAGUGAAAUGCGUAGAGAUGUGGAGGAAUACCGAUGGCGAAGGCAGCCCCCUGGGCCAAUACUGACGCUCAUGCACGAAAGCGUGGGGAGCAAACAGGAUUAGAUACCCUUGUAGUCCCAUG
Molecule: ribosomal RNA, 476 nt
Filed under: uncultured organism
Description: partial 16S ribosomal RNA
Rfam family: Bacterial small subunit ribosomal RNA
Source: RNAcentral